CAGUCGCCGCGGGAAUACGUAGGGUGCGAGCGUUAAUCGGAAUUACUGGGCGUAAAGCGUGCGCAGGCGGUUCGUUAAGACAGAUGUGAAAUCCCCGGGCUUAACCUGGGAACUGCAUUUGUGACUGGCGAGCUAGAGUAUGGCAGAGGGGGGUAGAAUUCCACGUGUAGCGGUGAAAUGCGUAGAGAUGUGGAGGAAUACCGAUGGCGAAGGCAGCCCCCUGGGCCAAUACUGACGCUCAUGCACGAAAGCGUGGGGAGCAAACAGGAUUAGAUACCCCCGUAGUCCCUGUCUCUUAUAC
Molecule: ribosomal RNA, 301 nt
Filed under: uncultured bacterium
Lineage: Bacteria
Description: partial 16S ribosomal RNA
Rfam family: Bacterial small subunit ribosomal RNA
Source: RNAcentral